AGGCUUUUCUACCUUUGGCUCCGUGAGCAGAGUUGGUCUUUCUGUUGGGAAUGGGGAAGCAGGGAACAGCUCCCUGGGAAUCUCUUACAGCAAAAUUAGAAGGGGAGAUGACCCUAAAACCUCAUGCAAAUCAAGGAUCAUCAGGCUAUGUGCAACACUCUUCAUGGGCUCCACAUGGUCUGAGCACAUAGACAUGAAAACCCUCCACCCUAUGCUGACUAUGGCAGGUGGAAUAGGAGCAGGAUAACUGCAAUGAGGACUCCCAUUCAGAGAAAAGAAGCAUGGGAACACAUCCGGCACUGGUUCAUGACAACGAUCAGAUGCUGAUGGGCUGGAGGAAGGAGCCCCCCUACCCCGGCAGUGGAGCUUUGUCCAUCGUCCAUGUCUCUGGGCUUUUCCUUCUGGGAGGCUCUUAUCCCCCAUGGCUACCCCUGAAACAGGCAUUGGUGAGAGGGGCCCCUGGGAGCUUCAGAGUGUUCACCUCUACUUCCUGCUGCUGCAGAUUGUGGAUCCCAGCGAUUGUAUUAGGAAGUAACGGUCAUAGUCAAUACUUUUUAUUGUUUGUUCAGUGCUUUCAAAAAAAAAAAAAACUUAGCAGGCUUUCAAUCUAUCUGCUUCUGAUCAGUUUCUUAUAUAAAAUCCACAACUACAGACCUGCAGCCAUCAUUCUAACACUGCAGGGGAACCAGGAGGGACUUGAGAAAGUUAAAUUCAAACUUGCCCUGUGCCUAACCACACUGCAGUUUACUUUGAUGUGAAGACCUUUAGAGUGAUAUGUAAGGGCAUCUCCUCCCAGAGCGCCCCUCUCCCUUUGCAGUCUGGGACUUCAACUGGAAGAUAGACAAUGAAGAUACACACCUGACUUGCUCCCACACUUGCGUCCUUUCUCACCUCCUCCCCGCCAUCCUCCAGACCUGAGAUCAGGGCUCUCCUGUCUGUUCUCCUCUUUAGAUAAAGCUCUAAGGUCAGUUCUGUCAGGCUGGCUUCUUGAUAUAUUACAGAGAAAGUUAAAGACAUCCAGAAUAUCCUUUUUCUUAAUAAAGACUGUCUUUCAAGAC
Bos taurus (domestic cattle) is the source of this 1058-nucleotide long non-coding RNA. NCBI's taxonomy places the organism in Eukaryota, Metazoa, Chordata, Mammalia, Artiodactyla, Bovidae. The record is from Ensembl.